CUCCCUUCCUCACUCUUGCGUCGUAUCUCCUCCUCUUCCUCUCUCAAACCCUGAUCCCGCGCUCGCACGGUACCUGUCGCGCCACCUCCGCUCUUCGGUGCAUCCUCUCCUCCUCCACGCCCCCUUGGCGCACCGCCGCCGCCGCUCGCCGUCGCCUCCCCUCCUCCACGCCACCUUCCACCCCUCUCCAGCCAGCCUACUCCCUCCUCCCUUCCCUCCCCACUCCUCCCUAUGUCCCUCGUUGCUGCACCACGCCCUCCCCCACCUUCAAAGGCAGCCUGGACCUGAUCUGGAGGAAGAAGAAGAGGGCACAAGAAGAGGAGAACAAGAAAGCUUCCCCAACUUCCCCCUUCACCAAAUAUUUGUGAUUUGAUCAUAAAGGGAUCUGUUUAGGGUUUGCUUGCUGGUCCAUCCUGGUCAGGGUCUGUUUCUGCUCUUGGCUGCUGGGCUGGUAGGUCGUGCCAUUGCUGAUGCUCGAGGUUGCUUCACUGGUCUCCUUGGAGGUCGAAGGGGUGUCAGUGGAAGCGCGGCGUGCCGCUGGUAUAUCAACGACGACAUUUCUGAGAUGAUAGACUUCCAUAGAAGAGGUACUACCCGCUGGAUCGAUUCCACCACUUCUCAUGAACAGACAAGAUGCUGAGCAUGCACACAUAGAUACAGUCAAAGGACCCGGCCACUCCAAAAGGCAAAUCAACUAAUCGUUUCCCGGCCUCUUUGAAGAAAUUCUAGAGCUGCUCUCAUGUUGUCUAGAUGGGUCCAAUUAAUAUGAUCCAAGUUCUGCUUGCAAAUGAUUUUGCAAUUGCAUCAUUAGCUUGCUAAUUUUGCCGUUUGCAUUAGCAUAAGAGGGGCCUGACAAAACUGAAGUGGCCAGUACUCAGCUGUAAGCCUUUAUUUCCAAAUGAUAGCAUCCAGAAAACUGGGCUGCUGGAGGAUGAAAUCCAUGCUUUGGAUGAUGAAGCUGCUGCUGAGCUGAGAAUCAUGUCAUGUCCAGGGCAAAGUUCAAGAGAAUGUUGACUGGAUCGGUGCUUCAGCGUGUGUUGGAUGGAAAAGCCGCUUCUAUCCAGCACCGCUUUCCUUAUGCGAUGUUGCUUAAAAUUCAGUGUUCUAUUUUGUCAUCCAUGGUUAACCUUACCUUUUAUCUAUGAACAAGCAUUCUCAACAGUUAGUGCUCGGUUUGUAAUGAAUAUUAUGUUGCAUCGAAAUUGCUUGAUGUGUUCAACUUUUGUAGUAAUGCCUACCUCUGAAUAUUAUGUUGCAUCAAAACUGUUUUUUGCUCUCUCGGACCUGUAUUGCUUUGUAUGAAAAAUAGC
This 1310-nucleotide ribosomal RNA is filed under the name Triticum aestivum (bread wheat). RNAcentral's name for it is "partial small subunit ribosomal RNA". Lineage: Eukaryota; Viridiplantae; Streptophyta; Magnoliopsida; Poales; Poaceae. The record is from RNAcentral.